This is a long non-coding RNA of Perca fluviatilis (European perch), 2183 nucleotides long. RefSeq lists it as uncharacterized. The transcript has 3 exons. Lineage: Eukaryota; Metazoa; Chordata; Actinopteri; Perciformes; Percidae. The record is from RefSeq and is a predicted model, not a curated record.
CUCCCAUUAAUAAAGGGAACAAGGCAAACCUAACGGCAGCUAGAUGCUUCCUCUUUUCUGUGUAAACCAGAUAACGGAGGAUCUCCGCUCUCUCAGCUGUUAUGACUCCGUUUCUGUUCCUGUUAUUUCUCUGGAGCAGCUUCAGACCUGACUGAGGUAACCGUGAACCCUGGAGAUGAUGUCAUUCUGCCAUGUAAGGCUGCUGAUUCCUCCAUCACCACUCUAGGUUGGACCAGACCUGACCUGGAGCCAGAUAUCGUCCUCUAUUACAGCGAUGAACACCUGGAUACAACCUACCAGCAUCCGUCAUUUAACCCUCGUGUUGUCCUGGGGUCAUUCUGACCCCAAAUGAAAUCUUUUGCCCGUCAAAAUGUAUUUUAUUCAUCAAUUGGUCUGAAAAUAAUGGUGAGUGUUUAACACUAUGCUCUUAAUGCCCAAACUAAGUUUGAAGUAAUUUGAUUGAAUGAUGGGUUUUUUACUGAAUGUAAUAUCUUCUGUUGUCCUCUGGGGUCAAAGGGACCCCGCAGCACAAAGUGGUGAAAUGGAGCAAAUAGUCCGAACAUCCUGGCUUACCAAAACCUCUCUGAUCAUGGAUGGUUGAUGGGUGGGCUCAAGCAAUGGUUAGGACAACAACAAGAACAACCAAACAGGUCUUUUCUCCCGGCAGUUGGGGCGUUUCACAGUUUAGUCUGAGAGAGAGUGAGGAGGAAGAAGCUCUAUACUGCACAGGACGCUUGCCAGAUAUUUUUUAAUAUAAAAUCUGAGAUAGAAGAAUAUUUCCAGUAAAAGGAGGAAACAUUGGCGCCGGGAGAGCUCAGUUGGUCGAGCGGGCGCCCAUAUAUAGAGGUUUACUGCUCGAUACAGCAGGCCCAGGUUUGACUCCCUCCUCUCUCUCCACUUUCAUUUCUUCAGCUGUCCUGUCAAUAAAGGCCUAAAAAUGCUCAAAAUAUCUUAAAAAACAAGAAAAAAGGAUGAAACAUUGAUCUGGUCUUCCCUCCCUCCCAGUGACGGAGGAAGCAUGUUGACCGCAGAGAGAGAGACAGGCCACCGUAUAUGCAAGGUCUCAAAUUCAUAACAUAAAUUCCACUUUUGAGCUGUCUUAUUGGCCUUAUAUUUCUAAUGGAAUAAAGAAAAUGGUGUUAAUGUGUUUGAAUGAAGUGGUUAUUAAAGGUGUAAUACAGAAUUAGUUGAAUUAUCCACUAAAUAUUAAUUAAUUAACAGUAAAACCAGAUGGGGUCAGUUUGACCCCAGAGGACAACAGGUGUGAUUAUGGGCUGCCAUUAAAACAAUUAAAAUGAUUUAAGAACUGCAUCCUUACUAAACUCUGACAUAUACCACUCUGUGAUGAGUCCAAUAGUCAAAAUAAUAUUAAAUUAAAAAUAAUUUUUACUCAGAAACAGGGUGUACUUUUAUAUAAACAAGGUCUAUUGGCUCUAAAUUCCAAAACGAAGGGAAACGUGUAGUAAUGGGUUGAACUGAAGUAAGACUAAAGGUGUAACACAGAAUAGAUUGAUAAUUUAUACUUUAUACUUUAAAUAACAGUCAAACCAGGGGGGGUCAUCUUGACCCCAGAGGACAACAGGUGUAAGACAUCCAGGAGGACAUUAGGAGGGUUAAGGACAGGGUGGACCUGGUGGACAGACAGCUGAAGGACGGAGACGUGUCUCUAACUCUGAAGAAUGUGAGCAGACACGACAACGGGACAUACAAGUGUCGAGUUGCACCAGCUGGUUCCUACAUCAACGACUCUAAGCCAAUCAGAAUCGUCCGUCUGCAGGUUCCAGACCCAGCAGGUUCAAACCGAGGACACUCCGAGGAUGGAAACUCCUCUCCUGUAGGUCGAUACCGGGGACUGGCAGCAGGUGUUCUGGUUCUUGUAGCUGUUGCAGUGGUUGGUGUCCUGAUAUAUAAAAGACACAAGAACAACAGAUCAAGACAACCUGCUGCUGCUGAUGAUGAAGCAUCGGGUGAUAAGUUGAUUGCUCUGACGUCCUCUGGGGUCUCCCAUGACGAGAUGGUCCCAGAGAGAGAGAUUUGAUUUGAAUGAACUUUACCUUUAGAGAAAUAGAAUAUUUACUCAAGUAAAAGUACUGUUGCUUGGGGCGACCUCUAGGUCCCCCAGUAGAGCGUGCGCCCCAUGUGGGCUGAGUCCUCGGCAGCGGCCCGGGUUCGAGUCCAACCUG